RNAcentral lists this ribosomal RNA (501 nucleotides) under uncultured bacterium. Its description in RNAcentral is "partial 16S ribosomal RNA". It matches the Rfam family "Bacterial small subunit ribosomal RNA", at positions 30 to 523 of the family's 1533-position model. The record is from RNAcentral.
AUUGAACGCUGGCGGCAUGCCUUACACAUGCAAGUCGAACGGCGGCACGGGUGCUUGCACCUGGUGGCGAGUGGCGAACGGGUGAGUAAUACAUCGGAACGUACCUUAUCGUGGGGGAUAACGCAGCGAAAGUUGCGCUAAUACCGCAUACGCCCUGAGGGGGAAAGCGGGGGACCGUAAGGCCUCGCGCGAUUAGAGCGGCCGAUGUCUGAUUAGCUUGUUGGUGAGGUAAAAGCUCACCAAGGCGAUGAUCAGUAGCUGGUCUGAGAGGACGAUCAGCCACACUGGGACUGAGACACGGCCCAGACUCCUACGGGAGGCAGCAGUGGGGAAUUUUGGACAAUGGGGGCAACCCUGAUCCAGCAAUGCCGCGUGAGUGAAGAAGGCCUUCGAGUUGUAAAGCUCUUUUGUCAGGGAAGAAACAGCAGCUCUAACACAGUCUGCGAAUGACGGUACCUGAAGAAUAAGCACCGGCUAACUACGUGCCAGCAGCCGCCGUAA